UACGGAGGAUCCGAGCGUUAUCCGGAUUUAUUGGGUUUAAAGGGUGCGUAGGCGGCCUGGUAAGUCAGGGGUGAAAGACGGUAGCUUAACUAUCGCAGUGCCCUUGAUACUGCUGGGCUUGAAUGUAGUUGAGGUAGGCGGAAUGUGACAAGUAGCGGUGAAAUGCAUAGAUAUGCCACAGAACACCAAUUGCGAAGGCAGCUUACUAAAGUAUGAUUGACGCUGAGGCACGAAAGCGUGGGGAUCAAACAGG
Molecule: ribosomal RNA, 253 nt
Filed under: uncultured bacterium
Lineage: Bacteria
Description: partial 16S ribosomal RNA
Rfam family: Bacterial small subunit ribosomal RNA
Source: RNAcentral